GACAGAGGGUGCUAGCGUUGUUCGGAAUUACUGGGCGUAAAGGGCGCGUAGGCGACCCGUUUAGUCGGGUGUGAAAUCCCGGGGCUCAACCCCGGAACUGCAUUCGAUACUGGCGGGCUUGAGACCGGAAGAGGUGGGUGGAAUACCCAGUGUAGAGGUGAAAUUCGUAGAUAUUGGGUGGAACACCGGUGGCGAAGGCGGCUCACUGGUCCGGUUCUGACGCUGAGGCGCGAAAGCGUGGGGAGCAAACAGG
This 253-nucleotide ribosomal RNA is filed under the name uncultured bacterium. RNAcentral's name for it is "partial 16S ribosomal RNA". It matches the Rfam family "Bacterial small subunit ribosomal RNA", at positions 524 to 776 of the family's 1533-position model. The record is from RNAcentral.